UACAGAGGGGGCAAGCGUUGUUCGGAAUUACCGGGCGUAAAGGGCGCGUAGGCGGCUCGGUAAGUCGGGUGUGAAACCCCCAGGCUCAACCUGGGGACGCCACCCGAUACUGCUGUGGCUAGAGUCCAGUAGGGGAGUGUGGAAUUCCCGGUGUAGCGGUGAAAUGCGCAGAUAUCGGGAGGAACACCAGCGGCGAAGGCGGCACUCUGGGCUGGAACUGACGCUGAGGAGCGAAAGCGUGGGUAGCAAACAGG
RNAcentral lists this ribosomal RNA (254 nucleotides) under uncultured bacterium. RNAcentral's name for it is "partial 16S ribosomal RNA". It matches the Rfam family "Bacterial small subunit ribosomal RNA", at positions 524 to 776 of the family's 1533-position model. The record is from RNAcentral.